UUCGGGAUGCCGGCGAGUGGCGAACGGGUGAGUAACGCGUGGAUACCUGUCCUGUGGUGGGGAAUAACGUUUAGAAAUGAACGCUAAUACCGCAUAAGCCCUUUGGGGGAAAGAUUUAUCGCCAGAGGAGGGGUCCGCGUCGGAUUAGCUAGUUGGUGGGGUAAAGGCCUACCAAGGCGACGGUCCGUAGCUGGUCUGAGAGGAUGAUCAGCCACACUGGGACUGAGACACGGUCCAGACUCCUACGGGAGGCAGCAGUGGGGAAUAUUGCGCAAUGGGGGCAACCCUGACGCAGCGAUGCCGCGUGGGUGAAUAAGGCCUUAGGGUUGUAAAGCCCUUUCAGUGGGAACGAUGAUGACGGUACCCACAGAAGAAGCCCCGGCUAACUCCGUGCCAGCAGCCGCGGUAAUACGGAGGGGGCGAGCGUUGUUCGGAAUUAUUGGGCGUAAAGAGCGCGUAGGCGGCUUGUCAAG
This 473-nucleotide ribosomal RNA is filed under the name uncultured Magnetococcus sp. RNAcentral describes it as "bacterial SSU rRNA". It matches the Rfam family "Bacterial small subunit ribosomal RNA", at positions 79 to 587 of the family's 1533-position model. Lineage: Bacteria; Pseudomonadati; Pseudomonadota; Magnetococcia; Magnetococcales; Magnetococcaceae. The record is from RNAcentral.